This 253-nucleotide ribosomal RNA is filed under the name uncultured bacterium. RNAcentral describes it as "partial 16S ribosomal RNA". It matches the Rfam family "Bacterial small subunit ribosomal RNA", at positions 524 to 776 of the family's 1533-position model. The record is from RNAcentral.
UACGUAGGGUGCGAGCGUUAAUCGGAAUUACUGGGCGUAAAGCGUGCGCAGGCGGUUCGUUGUGUCGGCGGUGAAAGCCCCGGGCUUAACCUGGGAAUGGCCGUCGAAACUGGCGAACUGGAGUGUGGCAGAGGGGGGUGGAAUUCCGCGUGUAGCAGUGAAAUGCGUAGAGAUGCGGAGGAACACCGAUGGCGAAGGCAGCCCCCUGGGCUGGCACUGACGCUCAGGCACGAAAGCGUGGGGAGCAAACAGG